AGCAGCCGCGGUAAUUCCAGCUCCAAUAGCGUAUAUUAAAGUUGUUGCAGUUAAAAAGCUCGUAGUUGAAUUUCGGGGUCAGUAGGCUAGUCGUGCCUCGGUACGUACUGGCAUUGUUGGUUUCUCCCUUCUGACGAACCAUGAUGUCAUUUAUUUGGUGUUGUGGGAAAUCAGGACUGUUAACUUUGAAAAAAUUAGAGUGUUUAAAGCAGGCUCACGCUUGAAUACAUUAGCAUGGAAUAAUGAAAUAGGACGUUUGAUUCUAUUUUGUUGGUUUCUAGGAUCGAUGUAAUGAUUAAUAGGGAUAGUUGGGGGUCAUUAGUAUUCAAUUGUCAGAGGUGAAAUUCUUGGAUUUAAUUGAAGACUAACUACUGCGAAAGCAUUUGCCAAGGAUGUUUUCAUUAAUCAAGAACGAAAGUUAGGGGAUCGAAGACGAUCAGAUACCGUCGUAGUCUUAACCAUAAACUAUGCCGACUAGGGAUCGGAUGAUGUUAAUUUUUAAUGA
This 505-nucleotide ribosomal RNA is filed under the name uncultured Glomus. RNAcentral describes it as "SSU rRNA". It matches the Rfam family "Eukaryotic small subunit ribosomal RNA", at positions 569 to 1074 of the family's 1831-position model. Lineage: Eukaryota; Fungi; Glomeromycota; Glomeromycetes; Glomerales; Glomeraceae. The record is from RNAcentral.